RNAcentral lists this ribosomal RNA (800 nucleotides) under Halomonas sp. Its description in RNAcentral is "bacterial SSU rRNA". It matches the Rfam family "Bacterial small subunit ribosomal RNA", at positions 51 to 850 of the family's 1533-position model. Lineage: Bacteria; Pseudomonadati; Pseudomonadota; Gammaproteobacteria; Oceanospirillales; Halomonadaceae. The record is from RNAcentral.
ACACAUGCAGUCGAGCGGUAACAGAUCUCAGCUUGCUAGGAUGCUGACGAGCGGCGGACGGGUGAGUAAUGCAUAGGAAUCUGCCCGAUAGUGGGGGAUAACCUGGGGAAACCCAGGCUAAUACCGCAUACGUCCUACGGGAGAAAGGGGGCUCCGGCUCCCGCUAUGGGAUGAGCCUAUGUCGGAUUAGCUAGUUGGUGAGGUAACGGCUCACCAAGGCCACGAUCCGUAGCUGGUCUGAGAGGAUGAUCAGCCACAUCGGGACUGAGACACGGCCCGAACUCCUACGGGAGGCAGCAGUGGGGAAUAUUGGACAAUGGGGGAAACCCUGAUCCAGCCAUGCCGCGUGUGUGAAGAAGGCCCUCGGGUUGUAAAGCACUUUCAGCGAGGAAGAACGCCUAACGGUUAAUACCCGCUAGGAAAGACAUCACUCGCAGAAGAAGCACCGGCUAACUCCGUGCCAGCAGCCGCGGUAAUACGGAGGGUGCAAGCGUUAAUCGGAAUUACUGGGCGUAAAGCGCGCGUAGGUGGCUUGAUAAGCCGGUUGUGAAAGCCCCGGGCUCAACCUGGGAACGGCAUCCGGAACUGUCAAGCUAGAGUGCAGGAGAGGAAGGUAGAAUUCCCGGUGUAGCGGUGAAAUGCGUAGAGAUCGGGAGGAAUACCAGUGGCGAAAGCGGCCUUCUGGACUGACACUGACACUGAGUGCGAAAGCGUGGGUAGCAAACAGGAUUAGAUACCCUGGUAGUCCACGCCGUAACGAUGUCGACCAGCCGUUGGUGCCUAGCGCACUUUGUGGCGAA